This 72-nucleotide transfer RNA is filed under the name Ovis aries (sheep). It matches the Rfam family "tRNA". From Rfam's summary of the family: Transfer RNA (tRNA) molecules are approximately 80 nucleotides in length. Their secondary structure includes four short double-helical elements and three loops (D, anti-codon, and T loops). The record is from Rfam by way of RNAcentral. Lineage: Eukaryota; Metazoa; Chordata; Mammalia; Artiodactyla; Bovidae.
UCCCUGGUAGCUCAGAGGUUAAAGCGUCUGCCUGCAAUGCAGGAAACCCAGGUUCAAUCCCUGGGUCGGGAA